UCCAUUUUCAUUCCCCCAUACCAAACGACCCCUUAAGGAAUAAUCGUCAACUUCCACGUUCCAAGUAGAGUGAUAUCAAAAAAACAAAGUAGUUUGCUAAGCUGGUACUUUACAAUGAUGAUCAGUUGGCCGCUAAUCCUACUCCCCUAAAUGAUGACCGUAUGUUGGGCCACGCUAACAUUCCAUCUAAAAAAUUAACUAAAUGAGAAUUAAAAGAUGGAACUAUAAUUGAUGAUAUUUGAAAAAUUAUAAUUUAAAAAUGUCCGAUGUAUUUAACUCAAAUCCCGGCUAAUCGUGAUUUAAUUAAUUAAUUAAUUGUAACGUACGUACCUGAGGCUAUUACCGAACGGGCCGUUAACCGCCGGCGGGGAGAUAUCCGACAUAGGAAUAUGGAAAGCCUCCGACCAAGCGAGCUGCUUCAAAC
This 424-nucleotide long non-coding RNA is filed under the name Linum usitatissimum (flax). RNAcentral's name for it is "long non-coding RNA (LUSI_LNC001521)". The record is from RNAcentral. Lineage: Eukaryota; Viridiplantae; Streptophyta; Magnoliopsida; Malpighiales; Linaceae.